Molecule: ribosomal RNA, 1357 nt
Filed under: Lactiplantibacillus plantarum
Lineage: Bacteria; Bacillati; Bacillota; Bacilli; Lactobacillales; Lactobacillaceae
Description: bacterial SSU rRNA
Rfam family: Bacterial small subunit ribosomal RNA
Source: RNAcentral
UCAUGAUUUACAUUUGAGUGAGUGGCGAACUGGUGAGUAACACGUGGGAAACCUGCCCAGAAGCGGGGGAUAACACCUGGAAACAGAUGCUAAUACCGCAUAACAACUUGGACCGCAUGGUCCGAGUUUGAAAGAUGGCUUCGGCUAUCACUUUUGGAUGGUCCCGCGGCGUAUUAGCUAGAUGGUGGGGUAACGGCUCACCAUGGCAAUGAUACGUAGCCGACCUGAGAGGGUAAUCGGCCACAUUGGGACUGAGACACGGCCCAAACUCCUACGGGAGGCAGCAGUAGGGAAUCUUCCACAAUGGACGAAAGUCUGAUGGAGCAACGCCGCGUGAGUGAAGAAGGGUUUCGGCUCGUAAAACUCUGUUGUUAAAGAAGAACAUAUCUGAGAGUAACUGUUCAGGUAUUGACGGUAUUUAACCAGAAAGCCACGGCUAACUACGUGCCAGCAGCCGCGGUAAUACGUAGGUGGCAAGCGUUGUCCGGAUUUAUUGGGCGUAAAGCGAGCGCAGGCGGUUUUUUAAGUCUGAUGUGAAAGCCUUCGGCUCAACCGAAGAAGUGCAUCGGAAACUGGGAAACUUGAGUGCAGAAGAGGACAGUGGAACUCCAUGUGUAGCGGUGAAAUGCGUAGAUAUAUGGAAGAACACCAGUGGCGAAGGCGGCUGUCUGGUCUGUAACUGACGCUGAGGCUCGAAAGUAUGGGUAGCAAACAGGAUUAGAUACCCUGGUAGUCCAUACCGUAAACGAUGAAUGCUAAGUGUUGGAGGGUUUCCGCCCUUCAGUGCUGCAGCUAACGCAUUAAGCAUUCCGCCUGGGGAGUACGGCCGCAAGGCUGAAACUCAAAGGAAUUGACGGGGGCCCGCACAAGCGGUGGAGCAUGUGGUUUAAUUCGAAGCUACGCGAAGAACCUUACCAGGUCUUGACAUACUAUGCAAAUCUAAGAGAUUAGACGUUCCCUUCGGGGACAUGGAUACAGGUGGUGCAUGGUUGUCGUCAGCUCGUGUCGUGAGAUGUUGGGUUAAGUCCCGCAACGAGCGCAACCCUUAUUAUCAGUUGCCAGCAUUAAGUUGGGCACUCUGGUGAGACUGCCGGUGACAAACCGGAGGAAGGUGGGGAUGACGUCAAAUCAUCAUGCCCCUUAUGACCUGGGCUACACACGUGCUACAAUGGAUGGUACAACGAGUUGCGAACUCGCGAGAGUAAGCUAAUCUCUUAAAGCCAUUCUCAGUUCGGAUUGUAGGCUGCAACUCGCCUACAUGAAGUCGGAAUCGCUAGUAAUCGCGGAUCAGCAUGCCGCGGUGAAUACGUUCCCGGGCCUUGUACACACCGCCCGUCACACCAUGAGAGUUUGUAAC